UAGUCCACGCCGUAAACGAUGAUGACUAGCUGUCGGGGCUCUUGGAGUUUCGGUGGCGCAGCUAACGCGUUAAGUCAUCCGCCUGGGGAGUACGGCCGCAAGGUUAAAACUCAAAGAAAUUGACGGGGGCCUGCACAAGCGGUGGAGCAUGUGGUUUAAUUCGAAGCAACGCGCAGAACCUUACCAGCGUUUGACAUGGUAGGACGGUUUCCAGAGAUGGAUUCCUUCCCUUACGGGACCUACACAC
Molecule: ribosomal RNA, 247 nt
Filed under: uncultured bacterium
Lineage: Bacteria
Description: partial 16S ribosomal RNA
Rfam family: Bacterial small subunit ribosomal RNA
Source: RNAcentral